This 1476-nucleotide ribosomal RNA is filed under the name metagenome. Its description in RNAcentral is "bacterial SSU rRNA". It matches the Rfam family "Bacterial small subunit ribosomal RNA". The record is from RNAcentral.
AGAGUUUGAUCAUGGCUCAGGACGAACGUUGGCGGUGCGCUUAAUGCAUGCAAGUCGAGGGAGAACCAGUCGUUCCGUAAGGUUCGGCUGGGGAAACCGGCGAACGGGUGCGUAACACGUGAGGAACCCGCCCCGAAGACUGGGAUAGCCCGAGGAAACUCGGAUUAAUACCGGAUACCCUCUUUGGACCACAUGGUCUGUUGAGGAAGUGGUCCGCUGCUUCGGGAUGGCCUCGCGGCCUAUCAGCUUGUUGGUGAGGUAAUGGCUCACCAAGGCAAAGACGGGUAGCUGGUCUGAGAGGACGAUCAGCCACACUGGGACUGAGACACGGCCCAGACUCCUACGGGAGGCAGCAGCAGGGAAUAUUGCACAAUGGGCGAAAGCCUGAUGCAGCGACACCGCGUGCGGGAUGAAGGCCUUCGGGUUGUAAACCGCUUUCAGGAGGGACGAAAAUGACGGUACCUCCAGAAGAAGGCCCGGCCAACUACGUGCCAGCAGCCGCGGUAAUACGUAGGGGCCAAACGUUGUCCGGAUUUAUUGGGCGUAAAGGGCUCGUAGGCGGUUCAACAAGUCGGUCGUGAAAGCCCGGGGCUCAACCCCGGGACGCCGGUCGAAACUGUUGUGACUAGGGUCCGGUAGAGGUGAGUGGAAUUCUCGGUGUAGCGGUGGAAUGCGCAGAUAUCGAGAGGAACACCAGUAGCGAAGGCGGCUCACUGGGCCGGUACCGACGCUGAGGAGCGAAAGCAUGGGGAGCAAACAGGAUUAGAUACCCUGGUAGUCCAUGCCGUAAACGAUGAACACUAGGUGUGGCGGACUCAUUGACGUCUGCCGUGCCGAAGCUAACGCAUUAAGUGUUCCGCCUGGGGAGUACGGCCGCAAGGCUAAAACUCAAAGGAAUUGGCGGGGCCCCGCACAAGCGGAGGAACAUGUGGUUUAAUUCGAUGAUACGCGAGGAACCUUACCCGGGCUUGAAUUGCAGAGGAAGGAUUUGGAGACAAUGACGCCCUUCGGGGUCUCUGUGAAGGUGCUGCAUGGUUGUCGUCAGCUCGUGCCGUGAGGUGUCGGCUUAAGUGCCAUAACGAGCGCAACCCCUCUCCUUAGUUGCCAUCAGGUUGAGCUGGGCACUCUGGGGACACUGCCACCGUAAGGUGUGAGGAAGGUGGGGAUGACGUCAAAUCAGCACGGCCCUUACGUCCGGGGCUACACACGUGUUACAAUGGCAGGUACAGAGAGACGGUUGUACGUAAGUACGAUCAAAUCCUUAAAGCCUGUCUCAGUUCGGACUGGGGUCUGCAACCCGACCCCACGAAGCUGGAUUCGCUAGUAAUCGCGCAUCAGCCAUGGCGCGGUGAAUACGUUCCCGGGCCUUGUACACACCGCCCGUCAAGCCAUGAAAGCCGGGGGCGCCUAAAGUCCGUGACCGUAAGGAGCGGCCUAGGGCGAAACUGGUAAUUGGGGCUAAGUCGUAACAAGGUA